AUAUAGUUGACGGCGAGUGGCUAUUGCGCGAUGUCAUACGCGCGUCAGACGACGGUGCAGACGACGACUAAUCAACGAGCGACCGAGACCAAAACGGCACGGGGCGAGUGAAGAAGAUUUGAGCCUGUGAAAUCGGCGACCACCGGAUGGACGCGACCCGACAAAUAAUAAUUACUAUUUAUUCAAACUAAACUUUUUAUAUUCUAGUAAAUGAAUUUAUUUUAUUCAAAAACUGUAACAUUAAAAUGUAGAUCACUAUUCAUUAUUAGUUAAAACAUAUAUUAUUAUAAUUAUACAACUUAUAUCUCUAUUAGGAGGCCUCUUUACUCUAUUAUUUAAUAUUUUCAUGUUAUUAUUUAUCACUAUUAUAUCAAUAUUAAACUAACUAUUCACUAUUCAGCUCUAUAACAGGUAUUCUAAUAAAUUAUUAUAAUAAAAAAGAAAAAACGUUUUAAAUGUAAAACUAUUCUAAGCAGUAAGCGGGGACGUUCUAUUAGCCUACAUAUGUUUAUAAAAAAUUUUAAAUUCACUGCCAAUGUCAAGUCGAUCUUACAAAUUAAUCAUAAAGAAUGUUGAAGACGUUCGGUGGUAUCCGGUCAAGGAUUCGGUUCCGUUGAUCGUACUGGCUAAGAACUCGGCCAUUUGACAUUAUCCAAUUAUUCGACGGGUUUUCGACGAAUAGUAUUCGUGAACGAUGUGCAUAGUACAUGAAUCAUCCUCGAAAACUUUGAGGAGUCUUUCACAGUCAUAUUUGUGACGAAUAGAAUCUACGAAACGACCAGAAUCCCCAAACAAUAAGGUUAACAUGACAACGAGUUAACCGUGGUCCGAGAGGAUGGCUGGAUGAUACGAAAAAAAGUACAACGGGAAAACAUUAUAAGAAUUGCUUAUAAAAUUGAAUUUGGGACAUCACAAAUGGCGUUAUAAAAGUGAAAAUUUUAUGAUGAAUCUUGAGAUAAUACCUGUAUAAUAUUCAUUAUUCCAUUAUAAUAAUUGUGCAAUGUUAUACAUAGCAGUUUAGAAAUUAUCAUUUUAAUUUUUUUGUUAAUGUAUAACAAAUAUUAAUA
Long non-coding RNA from Rhopalosiphum padi (bird cherry-oat aphid), 1067 nucleotides. RefSeq lists it as uncharacterized. The record is from RefSeq and is a predicted model, not a curated record. NCBI's taxonomy places the organism in Eukaryota, Metazoa, Arthropoda, Insecta, Hemiptera, Aphididae. The transcript is spliced from 3 exons.